Molecule: ribosomal RNA, 1041 nt
Filed under: Arundellina typhae
Lineage: Eukaryota; Fungi; Ascomycota; Dothideomycetes; Pleosporales; Lindgomycetaceae
Description: SSU rRNA
Rfam family: Eukaryotic small subunit ribosomal RNA
Source: RNAcentral
UGUCUAGUAUAGCAUAUCCGUGAAACUGCGAAUGCUCAUAAAUCAGUUAUCGUUUAUUUGAUAGUACCUUACUACUUGGAUAACCGUGGUAAUUCUAGAGCUAAUACAUGCUAAAAACCCCGACUUCGGGAGGGGGUGUAUUUAUUAGAUAAAAAACCAAUGCCCUCCGGGGCUCUUUGGUGAUUCAUGAUAACUUAACGGAUCGCAUGGCCUUGCGCCGGCGACGGUUCAUUCAAAUUUCUGCCCUAUCAACUUUCGAUGGUAAGGUAUUGGCUUACCAUGGUUUCAACGGGUAACGGGGAAUUAGGGUUCGAUUCCGGAGAGGGAGCCUGAGAAACGGCUACCACAUCCAAGGAAGGCAGCAGGCGCGCAAAUUACCCAAUCCCGACACGGGGAGGUAGUGACAAUAAAUACUGAUACAGGGCUCUUUUGGGUCUUGUAAUUGGAAUGAGUACAAUUUAAACCCCUUAACGAGGAACAAUUGGAGGGCAAGUCUGGUGCCAGCAGCCGCGGUAAUUCCAGCUCCAAUAGCGUAUAUUAAAGUUGUUGCAGUUAAAAAGCUCGUAGUUGAAACUUGGGCCUGGCUGGCCGGUCCGCCUCACCGCGUGUACUGGUCCGGCCGGGCCUUUCCUUCUGGAGAGCCUCAUGCCCUUCACUGGGUGUGUUGGGGAACCAGGACUUUUACUUUGAAAAAAUUAGAGUGUUCAAAGCAGGCCUUUGCUCGAAUACGUUAGCAUGGAAUAAUAGAAUAGGACGUGCGAUCCUAUUUUGUUGGUUUCUAGGACCGCCGUAAUGAUUAAUAGGGAUAGUCGGGGGCAUCAGUAUUCAAUUGUCAGAGGUGAAAUUCUUGGAUUUAUUGAAGACUAACUACUGCGAAAGCAUUUGCCAAGGAUGUUUUCAUUAAUCAGUGAACGAAAGUUAGGGGAUCGAAGACGAUCAGAUACCGUCGUAGUCUUAACCGUAAACUAUGCCGACUAGGGAUCGGGCGAUGUUAUUAUUUUGACUCGCUCGGCACCUUACGAGAAAUCAAAGUUUUUGGGU